RNAcentral lists this ribosomal RNA (428 nucleotides) under uncultured bacterium. Its description in RNAcentral is "partial 16S ribosomal RNA". It matches the Rfam family "Bacterial small subunit ribosomal RNA", at positions 354 to 796 of the family's 1533-position model. The record is from RNAcentral.
GUGGGGAAUAUUGGGCAAUGGGGGAAACCCUGACCCAGCAACGCCGCGUGAGGGAAGAAGGUUUUCGGAUUGUAAACCUCUGUCCUUGGUGACGAAGGAAGUGACGGUAACCAAGGAGGAAGCCCCGGCUAACUACGUGCCAGCAGCCGCGGUAAUACGUAGGGGGCAAGCGUUGUCCGGAAUGACUGGGCGUAAAGUGCGUGUAGGCGGCCGAUUAAGUCUGGAGUGAAAGUCCUGCUUUCAAGGUGGGAAUUGCUUUGGAGACUGGUUGGCUUGAGUGCGGAAGAGGUAAGUGGAAUUCCCAGUGUAGCGGUGAAAUGCGUAGAGAUUGGGAGGAACACCAGUGGCGAAGGCGACUUACUGGGCCGUAACUGACGCUGAGGCGCGAAAGCCAGGGGAGCAAACGGGAUUAGAAACCCCGGUAGUCC